RNAcentral lists this unclassified non-coding RNA (811 nucleotides) under Hevea brasiliensis (rubber tree). Lineage: Eukaryota; Viridiplantae; Streptophyta; Magnoliopsida; Malpighiales; Euphorbiaceae. The record is from RNAcentral.
GAGAGAUUGAAUUGAUUUGUAAAUCUAUAUGAGUAACUGAGAAUUUUCCUUUUCCGCCAUUGGAGCUCAUUUCCAGCUUUCUCUGCUUCUUCAAUUCCACUUCCUCAUCGGUUAUCAGAAACAUGUCAGAAGGCAAGAAGUCGGAGAAUGGCUUUGUUGAGCAAGAUGAGGAUAUCCAUAACUCUCUAACUGAAAAGACUGGCAUUGAUCCAGCGCAAUCUCCAUCACUCACCUGGCAACGAAAAUUAAACCGGGAAGGAAUCCCACUUUGGCAGUUCAGGUUGCACCUGAAAGAGAUAAUUCAUCUGGCUCCGGUAGGGUUUAGGCUAAUCCGCUAUAUCCGAGAAGAAUCUGUCAAAGGAAGGGGGGCUAUGAUAAAUCCUUUUAUCAGACGCCGUAUAACUGAUACUCAUGGCAUUCCUCUAGGUGGCCUUGGAUCAGGAAGCAUUGGAAGAAGUUACCGAGGUGAAUUUCAACGCUGGCAACUAUUCCCUAGAAAAUGUGAAGAUAGGCCAAUUUUAGCAAACCAAUUUUCUGUUUUCGUCUCACGACCGAAUGGGAAGAAGUAUUCUACUGUACUAUGUGCACAAAGCCCUGAAACCCGGAGGGAAGUUGAAGCAUCAGGCAUUGGAUCUUGGGACUGGAAUUUGAAGGGUCAUAGGUCUACAUAUCAUGCUCUGUAUCCUCGAGCUUGGACAAUAUAUGACGGUGAACCGGAUCCAGAACUUAGAAUAGUUUGCCGUCAAAUUUCACCUGUUAUUCCCCAUAAUUAUAAGGAGAGCAGUUACCCUGUCUCAGUUUUUACUUUCAC